UGGGGAAUCUUGCACAAUGGGCGCAAGCCUGAUGCAGCAACGCCGCGUGCGGGAAGAAGGCCCUAGGGUUGUAAACCGCUUUCAGCAGGGAAGAAAAUGACGGUACCUGCAGAAGAAGGUGCGGCCAACUACGUGCCAGCAGCCGCGGUGACACGUAGGCACCAAGCGUUGUCCGGAUUUAUUGGGCGUAAAGAGCUCGUAGGCGGUUCAGUAAGUCGGGUGUGAAAACUCUGGGCUCAACCCAGAGAGGCCACCCGAUACUGCUGUGACUUGAGUACGGUAGGGGAGCGGGGAAUUCCUGGUGUAGCGGUGAAAUGCGCAGAUAUCAGGAGGAACACCAGUGGCGAAGGCGCCGCUCUGGGCCGUAACUGACGCUGAGGAGCGAAAGCAUGGGUAGCAAAGCAGGAUUAGAUACCCUGGUAGUCCAUGCCGUAAACGUUGGG
This 443-nucleotide ribosomal RNA is filed under the name uncultured bacterium. RNAcentral describes it as "bacterial SSU rRNA". It matches the Rfam family "Bacterial small subunit ribosomal RNA", at positions 355 to 813 of the family's 1533-position model. The record is from RNAcentral.